This 73-nucleotide transfer RNA is filed under the name bacterium. RNAcentral's name for it is "tRNA-Glu". It matches the Rfam family "tRNA". Rfam says of the family: Transfer RNA (tRNA) molecules are approximately 80 nucleotides in length. Their secondary structure includes four short double-helical elements and three loops (D, anti-codon, and T loops). Further hydrogen bonds mediate the characteristic L-shaped molecular structure. tRNAs have two regions of fundamental functional importance: the anti-codon, which is responsible for specific mRNA codon recognition, and the 3' end, to which the tRNAs corresponding amino acid is attached (by aminoacyl-tRNA synthetases). tRNAs cope with the degeneracy of the genetic code in two manners: having more than one tRNA (with a specific anti-codon) for a particular amino acid; and 'wobble' base-pairing, i.e. permitting non-standard base-pairing at the 3rd anti-codon position. RNAcentral also lists the same sequence under 19 other names. The record is from RNAcentral.
GCCCCCUUCGUCUAGUGGCCCAGGAUACCUGGUUCUCAGCCAGGAGACAGGGGUUCGAUUCCCCUAGGGGGUA